Molecule: transfer RNA, 74 nt
Filed under: bacterium
Lineage: Bacteria
Description: tRNA-His
Rfam family: tRNA
About the family: Transfer RNA (tRNA) molecules are approximately 80 nucleotides in length. Their secondary structure includes four short double-helical elements and three loops (D, anti-codon, and T loops). Further hydrogen bonds mediate the characteristic L-shaped molecular structure. tRNAs have two regions of fundamental functional importance: the anti-codon, which is responsible for specific mRNA codon recognition, and the 3' end, to which the tRNAs corresponding amino acid is attached (by aminoacyl-tRNA synthetases). tRNAs cope with the degeneracy of the genetic code in two manners: having more than one tRNA (with a specific anti-codon) for a particular amino acid; and 'wobble' base-pairing, i.e. permitting non-standard base-pairing at the 3rd anti-codon position.
Source: RNAcentral
GCAGCCGUAGCUCAGUUGGUUAGAGCGCCUGACUGUGGAUCAGGAGGUCAAUGGUUCGAGUCCAUUCGGCUGUA